UACGUAGGGGGCAAGCGUUGUCCGGAUUUACUGGGCGUAAAGCGCGCGUAGGCGGAAGGUGAAGCGUGGCCUGAAAGCCCCCGGCUCAACCGGGGAGGGCGGCUGCGAACUGGCCUUCUUGAGGGCGGUAGAGGGGGGCGGAAUUCCUGGUGUAGCGGUGAAAUGCGUAGAGAUCAGGAGGAACACCAGUGGCGAAGGCGGCCCCCUGGGUCGGCCCUGACGCUGAGGCACGAAAGCGUGGGGAGCGAACGGG
This 253-nucleotide ribosomal RNA is filed under the name uncultured bacterium. RNAcentral describes it as "partial 16S ribosomal RNA". It matches the Rfam family "Bacterial small subunit ribosomal RNA", at positions 524 to 776 of the family's 1533-position model. The record is from RNAcentral.